ACAAUACUCCCUCCGUUCCUAAAUAUAAGUCUUUUUAGAAGUUUUCAUAGGGGGCUACAUACGGAUGUAUAUAGACAUAUUUUAGAAUAUAGAUUCAUUAAUUUUGCUCCGUAUGUAGUCCCCUAGUGAAAUAUCUAAAAAGACUUAUAUUUAGGAACGGAGGGAGUAGAUG
This 172-nucleotide microRNA precursor is filed under the name Hordeum vulgare. RNAcentral describes it as "microRNA MIR1122". It matches the Rfam family "MIR1120/MIR1122 microRNA precursor family". The record is from RNAcentral. Lineage: Eukaryota; Viridiplantae; Streptophyta; Magnoliopsida; Poales; Poaceae.